GACAGAGGUGCCGAGCGUUAGGCGGAAUCACUGGGCUUAAAGCGUGUGUAGGCGGGCCGUUAAGUGCCCCGUGAAAUCCCCCGGCUCAACCGGGGAACGGCGGGGCAUACUGGCGGCCUUGAGCCACUUAAGGGCAGACGGAACAAGCGGUGGAGCGGUGAAAUGCGUAGAGAUCGGAAAGAACACCAACGGCGAAAGCACUCUGCUGGGCCGACACUGACACUGAGAGACGAAAGCUAGGGGAGCGAAUGGG
This 253-nucleotide ribosomal RNA is filed under the name uncultured bacterium. RNAcentral describes it as "partial 16S ribosomal RNA". It matches the Rfam family "Bacterial small subunit ribosomal RNA", at positions 524 to 776 of the family's 1533-position model. The record is from RNAcentral.